AGUGAACGCUGGCGGUAGGCCUAACACAUGCAAGUCGAACGGCAGCACAGUAAGAGCUUGCUCUUACGGGUGGCGAGUGGCGGACGGGUGAGGAAUACAUAGGAAUCUACUUUUUCGUGGGGGAUAACGUAGGGAAACUUACGCUAAUACCGCAUACGACCUACGGGUGAAAUCAGGGGAUCUUCGGACCUUGCGCGAUUGAAUGAGCCGAUGUCGGAUUAGCUAGUUGGCGGGGUAAAGGCACACCAAGGCAACGAUCCGUAGCUGGUCUGAGAGGAUGAUCAGCCACACUGGAACUGAGACACGGUCCAGACUCCUACGGGAGGCAGCAGUGGGGAAUAUUGGACAAUGGGCGCAAGCCUGAUCCAGCCAUACCGCGUGGGUGAAGAAGGCCUUCGGGUUGUAAAGCCCUUUUGUUGGGAAAGAAAAGCAGCAGGUUAAUACCCCGCUGUUCUGACGGUACCCAAAGAAUAAGCACCGGCUAACUUCGUG
This 492-nucleotide ribosomal RNA is filed under the name uncultured bacterium. RNAcentral describes it as "partial 16S ribosomal RNA". It matches the Rfam family "Bacterial small subunit ribosomal RNA", at positions 29 to 507 of the family's 1533-position model. The record is from RNAcentral.